ACACGACUACAUUAGAUACCCCUGUAGUCCUAGGCGUAAAUGAUGCGAGUUAAUGUGGGGGCAUCUACGAGAUGGCCCUGUGCUGUAGGGUAGCCGUUAAACUCGCUGCCUGGGGAGUACGGUCGCAAGGCUGAAACUUAAAGGAAUUGGCGGGGGAGCACCACAAGAGGUGGAGGCUGCGGUUCAAUUGGACUCAACGACCGGAAACUCAGUCGGGAGCGACAGCAGUAUGAUUGCCGGGUUGAUGACCUUGCUUGACAAGCUG
This 265-nucleotide ribosomal RNA is filed under the name uncultured archaeon. Its description in RNAcentral is "partial 16S ribosomal RNA". It matches the Rfam family "Archaeal small subunit ribosomal RNA", at positions 717 to 982 of the family's 1478-position model. The record is from RNAcentral.